This is a long non-coding RNA of Lynx canadensis (Canada lynx), 1851 nucleotides long. The record is from Ensembl. Lineage: Eukaryota; Metazoa; Chordata; Mammalia; Carnivora; Felidae.
AUGGCAUCUGGUCCAAUGGAGCACAGAGAGUUAACCCCAGUCAAAAGCGAGGCUGCCAAGCACGUAAACAAGGAGUGGAAAACUGGCGAUCCUUACCCCCCUCCCCAACUGAAAUCUCUGCCUCCCUCCUCACAAGCCAUUUCACUGAUUUGGCAUCAACUGUUUCCAAAGAAAUUACAGAUUUUAAAUUGUAAGGUGUUCUGGAUGCACAAGUGCAAUGAAAUUCCAGCCAUUUCGAUUCUACCCCCUCGUCACACCAGACGCAUCUUCCUUUAAAAAGAACAAAACCAAGAAGCUUUUACAAUCCUCUCCAGCCUAUUUCACUAAGACCGGUUGCGAACCCACAGCGCCGCGGAGGGAACGCCUGCGCCUCGGCCGGACACUAAGAGUUAAGAUGUGGCGGAGGGGGUGGCGGGGGAGGGGCGGAGAGGAGAAAGUGGCGAGGGGGAGGGAGGCGGGGGGGGGGGGGGGGGGGGGGCGACAGAUUUCCAGCUUCUACGACGCUCUGCCUAAAUUAAAAAGCAACCAAUCGGAACGGCCGGAAGGGGGGCCGCGCGUCCUGAGCCAGUCAUUCCGGGCCUGCCAAUCACCCAGCGGGUAGCCAAUCAGCGGGGGCCCUGGUGCUCGACUUCCUUGUAUUUGGGAAAGUGUGGUGGUGGGUGCGCGCUCGCGGCGGAGGGUAAACAUUCGACAGUCCCUGCUCUGAGAGGGAGGGACAGAGAGCGAACUGUCAGAUCCCUGCGAGAGCGGGCGGGCGAGCGAGGGAGAGGGAGUGAGAGAGAGAGAGAGAGAGAGGGAGGGAGAGGGAAAGUGAGAGAGGGAGAGAGCGCGAACGAGGGCGCAGAGCGAGCUCCCGCUGCAACUCCGCUCCGGCUCGGCCAGCGCCAGCGCCGUCGGUGCACUCUACGAGCCGUGCAACGUGCCCACUGGAGUUGGUUGUGUAUCAAGGAUCCCCUAUAUGCACACACACACCUCCACCUCCACCAAUGCACUCUUCUUCCUCCUCCUCCUCCAGACAACUGCUGGGAAAAAAAUAAAACACCAACCCCAACCGUCAGCAACAAGAGGCAACCAAGAGCUCCGGCAAUAGCAACUUCAGAGAAAUGCACCAUCGCAAGAAGUUUUCCUAGGACAGAACAAAACUUGAAACGAAAGGACCAGAGGAGGAGAGCAGGAGCCAGCCUCUCCUCUCCGCACACGCGAGCAGCCAGCAUCACCACGCCUUCAAGGACGGAAAAAAAGUUUUACUACUCUAAGGGAAAACGAGUGAAAUGUGUUCCUGAGGAGGAGAGAAGAGAGCGGGCAAGGGAAGCAGCGGUCCGGUUGCUGGUCACCCACAAUUUGGUUAAGGAAGAAAGGAACGGCUGCUUUCUUUGUUGUCUCCCGUGAAAUCUUCACUUAGCAGGUGGACUGAGCCCCGCGCCCGGGCAGAGUCCGCGCUCGGCGGAGGACGGCAAGAGGAGCGGGAGCCGGCGCGCCCCGCCAAAGAGCCCGGAGCGCAGGCCCGCGCCCUGCCCGGUGAGCCCCGCUGGAGCGAGCGGAACGCGCCGGGGCUGGGGGGCGGCCACGACCCCCCCUGAAGGGGGCGGCCACGGAGCGCGCCCCGAGAAGCGAGCCCCCCUCCCUAGAGCGCUGCUCCUGCUGCUCCUGCUGCUGCUGCUGCUGCUGCUGCUGACCAAGGCCGGCCGGCGACCCCCGCGCCCUGCCGAGCGGCCUUGCAGCUGCAGCCGGGGGCCGCGGCGGCGGCGGCGGCGGCGGCGGCGGGGGCGGAGGCGGCGGAGGAGGAGGCGGCGGCGAAGGCGGCGGGGCCGGCCGGGGCCCGGGGCGGGGGCGGGGGAGGAGGGGGGGGAG